Molecule: ribosomal RNA, 293 nt
Filed under: Escherichia coli O146
Lineage: Bacteria; Pseudomonadati; Pseudomonadota; Gammaproteobacteria; Enterobacterales; Enterobacteriaceae
Description: partial 23S ribosomal RNA
Rfam family: Bacterial large subunit ribosomal RNA
Source: RNAcentral
ACGGGAGACACACGGCGGGUGCUAACGUCCGUCGUGAAGAGGGAAACAACCCAGACCGCCAGCUAAGGUCCCAAAGUCAUGGUUAAGUGGGAAACGAUGUGGGAAGGCCCAGACAGCCAGGAUGUUGGCUUAGAAGCAGCCAUCAUUUAAAGAAAGCGUAAUAGCUCACUGGUCGAGUCGGCCUGCGCGGAAGAUGUAACGGGGCUAAACCAUGCACCGAAGCUGCGGCAGCGACGCUUAUGCGUUGUUGGGUAGGGGAGCGUUCUGUAAGCCUGUGAAGGUGUACUGUGAGG